AGAGUUUGAUCCUGGCUCAGAAUCAACGCUGGCGGCGUGCCUAACACAUGCAAGUCGAACGCGAAAGGGGCUUCGGCCCUGAGUAGAGUGGCGAACGGGUGAGUAACACGUGGGUGAUCUACCUCUGAGUGGGGGAUAACGUCCCGAAAGGGACGCUAAUACCGCAUGACGUCCUGGGUUUGAGUACCUGGAAACCAAAGUCGGGGACCGCAAGGCCUGACGCUUGGAGAAGAGCCCGCGCCUGAUUAGCUAGUUGGCGGGGUAAUGGCCCACCAAGGCAACGAUCAGUAGCCGGCCUGAGAGGGCGGACGGCCACACUGGGACUGAGACACGGCCCAGACUCCUACGGGAGGCAGCAGUGGGGAAUUGUUCGCAAUGGGCGCAAGCCUGACGACGCAACGCCGCGUGGAGGAUGAAGGUCUUCGGAUUGUAAACUCCUGUUGAUCGGGACGAAUGGGUUCCGGGGGAAUAUCCCGGGGCAGUGACGGUACCGAUUGAGGAAGCCACGGCUAACUCUGUGCCAGCCGCCGCGGUAAUAC
RNAcentral lists this ribosomal RNA (539 nucleotides) under uncultured bacterium. RNAcentral describes it as "bacterial SSU rRNA". It matches the Rfam family "Bacterial small subunit ribosomal RNA", at positions 8 to 526 of the family's 1533-position model. The record is from RNAcentral.